GCUGUUUGCCGCCAUCGCAGACCCGCCACCGCAGACCUGCCACUGCAGACCCACCACUGACUCCCAUCCCUCCGGAUCCAGCAGGGUGUCCGCUGUGCUCCUGAUCCAGCGAGGUGUCCAUUGCCACUCCCAAUCAGGCUAAAGGCUUGCCAUUGUUCCUGCACAGCUAAGUGCCUGGGUUCAUCCUAAUCAAGCUGAACACUAGUCACUGGGUUCCACGGUUCUCUUCCGUGACCCAUGUCUUCUAAUAGAGCUAUAACACUCACCGCAUGGCCCAAGAUUCCAUUCCUUGGAAUCCGUGAGGCCAAGAACCCCAGGUAAGAGAACACGAGGCUUGCCACCAUCUUGGAAGUGGCCUGCCACCAUUGUGGAAGUGGCCCACAACCAUCUUGGGAGCUCUGGAAGCAAGGACCCCCGGUAACAUUUUGGUGACCACGAAGGGACAUCCAAAGCGGCCCCGUAGAAGACGCCAAUCAAAAUAAACUGCAUUCCUGAGAUACACGGCCAGAAAUUAAAGGCAUUCAACUCCUCAAGGCCCAGAGACUAUCGAAGAAGAGGUGGGCAGAGCCUUGAAACUUUUCUUUUGAGCUAUUGACAGCUUUUAACAAUUUAGUAUACUCCAAUCAACAAAAUUUGGAGCAUAUUUGUUUCUCUCUACCUGAUUUCUCCAGAAUUUGUAAACUAUUUGAGUCACUGAAAACAGCUGUGCUUUUGUAAAGCCCUGCAAACUGAAGCUAGACAACUUAAACUUCAGAAGAAAAUAACAGCAACCUAUUUACACGCAUAAGCCACUUUCAUACCUGCCUACUGAUGUAUGGACUUCAGAAUAACGUGGCCUAUGUAUAUUUUCCAGGAUUGUUCUUUUGUUUGUUGUUUUUCACCCUUCCUCCCCCUAUUUUCUCUUCACAAGACAUGGGAGUUCACAGCCUUCUAAAAAUUAGCUUUCCUAAUAACUUGGGACUUACCUGUCUAGGAAUAAACCAUCCUAGCAUGAGCGAUCAGAUGAAAUCUGGGACCAAAGACUCAUUUUUCUUCUAAAAUGCUUUCUCCAAAAAAAAAUUUUUUUUAAAAAAAAGAAAAGGGGGCAAAUGUAAAGGAAAAUAUCUUGGGCCCCCAAAUCACUAAGUUAAAAGGAAAAUUCAAGCUAGGAACUACUUAAGACAAACUUGCCUCCCAUUCUAUUCAAAGUCAUCCCUCUGCUCAUUGAGAUAAAUGUGUAUCUGACUGCCUCCUUAGGAAAGGUAAAUCAGAAACUCAAAAGAAUGCAACCAUUUGUCUCCCACCUACCCGUGACCUGGAAGCCCCCUUCCCGCUUCAAGUUGUCCCGCCUUUCCGAACCCAACCAGUGUUCAUUUUACAUAUAUUGAUUGAUGUCUUAUAUGUCCCUAAAACGCAUAAAACCAAGCUGUGCUCUGACCACCUUGGGCACAUGUUGUCAGGACCUCCUGAGGCUGUGUCACUGCGUGCGCAUCCUCAACCUUGGCAAAAUAAACUUUCUAAAUUAACUGAUACCUGUCUCAAAUUUUUGGGGUUCACAAGGUUUAGUUAUAAAUGCUUCUUAUGGAGCAUGAUUU
This 1574-nucleotide long non-coding RNA is filed under the name Homo sapiens (human). Its description in RNAcentral is "HSALNT0333253". The record is from RNAcentral. Lineage: Eukaryota; Metazoa; Chordata; Mammalia; Primates; Hominidae.